UCAAGCUAAUAAGAGCACAGGGUGGAUGCCCAGGCACCAAACGCCGACGAAAGACGUGGCAAGCUGCGAAAAGUCACGGGGAACCGCAAGCAGGUAUUGAUCCGUGAACGUCUGAAUGGGGAAACCCGGCGGGUUAACAGCCCGUCACUAUUAACUGAAUCAAUAGGUUAAUAGAGGGAACGCGGGGAACUGAAACAUCUCAGUACCCGUAGGAAGAGAAAAUAAAGAAUGAUUUCCUAAGUAGCGGCGAGCGAACGGGAAAGAGGCCAAACCGAAGGGCUUGCUCUUCGGGGUUGUGGAUCAGCAAAAAGGACGGAAGACCUUAGCAGAAGAGGAUUGGAAAGUCCCGCCAGAGAGGGUAAAAGCCCCUUACGCGAAAAGGUCGAACGACGAGCUGACACCAGAGUACCGCAGGACACGAGAAAUCCGGUGGGAAGCCGGGAGGACCACCUCCCAAGCCUAAAUACGAAUUGGUGACCGAUAGCGCAUAGUACCGUGAGGGAAAGGUGAAAAGAACCCCGGGAGGGGAGUGAAAAAGAACCUGAAACCCUGUGUUUACAAGCAGUGAAAGUGCGAGCAAGGCACGAUCACGUACUUUUUGUAGAACGGACCGGCGAGUUACGUUAUGCAGCAAGGUUAAGAACUAAAGGUUCGGAGCCGAAGCGAAAGCGAGUCUGAAUAGGGCGAUAGUUGCAUGACGUAGACCCGAAACCGGGUGACCUAUCCAUGAGCAGGUUGAAGUGGAGGUAAAGCUCCAUGGAGGACCGAACCAGACGUCUGUUGAAAAAGGCGGGGAUGACUUGUGGAUAGGGGAGAAAUUCCAAUCGAACCCGGAGAUAGCUGGUUCUCCUCGAAAUAGCUUUAGGGCUAGCCUCAUGGAUCAUUGGUGGGGGUAGAGCACUGAAUGUGCGCGGGGGCCACAAAGCCUACCAAACGCUAUCAAACUUCGAAUACCAUACAAUGCAGACCAUGGGAGUCAGUCCGCGAGAGAUAAGUUCCGCGGGCAAAAGGGGAACACCCCAGAUCAACCGCUAAGGUCCCCAAGUUCACGUUAAGUGGAGAAGGAUGUGGAAUUGCACAGACAACCAGGAUGUUGGCUCAGAAGCAGCCACACAUUUAAAGAGUGCGUAAUAGCUCACUGGUCGAGUGAUUGUGCGCCGAAGAUGUCCGGGGCUAAACGUGACACCGAAGCGAUGGGUGCAUCUGAAAGGAUGCGCGGUAGAGGAGCAAUGUGCAGAGGCAGAAGCCGUAUCGAGAGGCACGGUGGACACUGCACAAGAGAGAAUGCCGGUAUGAGUAGCGAGAGGCAUGCGAGAAACAUGCCCGUCGAAAGCCCAAGGUUUCCUGGGGAAGGUUCAUCCGCCCAGGGUAAGUCGGGGCCUAAGCCGAGGACGGAAGUCGUAGGCGAUGGACAGCAGGUGUAGAUUCCUGCACUACCGAUGGAAUGAAGCAGUGACACAGAAGGAUAACUCGAGCAGGGUGAUGGUCAACCCUGUGCAAGCAUCGAGGUUGGGUUGUAGUGAAGUACGCAAUCCUACAAGCUGAGGUGUGAUGCGGACCGAAAUUUCAGUAGGGAAGCGAGUGAGUUCACGCUGGCGAGAAAAGCUGCUAGUACAUCCAAAGGUACCCGUACCGGAAACCGACGCAGGUGGGCGAGGAGAGAAUCCUGAGACGAACGGGAGAACCCUUGUUAAGGAACUCGGCAAAAUGACCCCGUAACUUCGGGAUAAGGGGUGCCUGCGAGAGCAGGCCGCAGAGAAUAGUCACAAGCGACUGUUUAGCAAAAACACAGGUAUCUGCGAAAGCGAGAGCUGACGUAUAGGUGCUGACACCUGCCCGGUGCUGGAAGGUUAAGGGAACAUGUUAGAGCAAUCGAAGCAUCGAACCGAAGCCCCAGUAAACGGCGGCCGUAACUAUAACGGUCCUAAGGUAGCGAAAUUCCUUGUCGGGUAAGUUCCGACCCG
RNAcentral lists this ribosomal RNA (1964 nucleotides) under human gut metagenome. RNAcentral describes it as "bacterial LSU rRNA". It matches the Rfam family "Bacterial large subunit ribosomal RNA", at positions 3 to 1990 of the family's 2925-position model. The record is from RNAcentral.